UGGGGAAUAUUGCACAAUGGGGGAAACCCGUGAUGCAGCGACGCCGCGUGAACGAAGAAGUAUUUCGGUAUGUAAAGUUCUAUCAGCAGGGAAGAUAAUGACGGUACCUGACUAAGAAGCACCGGCUAAAUACGUGCCAGCAGCCGCGGUAAUACGUAGGUGGCGAGCGUUGUCCGGAUUUACUGGGCGUAAAGGGAGCGUAGGCGGAUUUUUAAGUGAGAUGUGAAAUACUCGGGCUUAACCUGAGUGCUGCAUUUCAAACUGGAAGUCUAGAGUGCAGGAGAGGAGAAGGGAAUUCCUAGUGUAGCGGUGAAAUGCGUAGAGAUUAGGAAGAACACCAGUGGCGAAGGCGCUUCUCUGGACUGUAACUGACGCUGAGGCUCGAAAGCGUGGGGAGCAAACAGGAUUAGAUACCCUGGUAGU
This 423-nucleotide ribosomal RNA is filed under the name uncultured Clostridium sp. RNAcentral's name for it is "bacterial SSU rRNA". It matches the Rfam family "Bacterial small subunit ribosomal RNA", at positions 355 to 794 of the family's 1533-position model. Lineage: Bacteria; Bacillati; Bacillota; Clostridia; Eubacteriales; Clostridiaceae. The record is from RNAcentral.